RNAcentral lists this ribosomal RNA (240 nucleotides) under uncultured bacterium. RNAcentral's name for it is "partial 16S ribosomal RNA". It matches the Rfam family "Bacterial small subunit ribosomal RNA", at positions 537 to 776 of the family's 1533-position model. The record is from RNAcentral.
AGCGUUGUUCGGAUUCAUUGGGCGUAAAGGGUGCGUAGGCGGCGCGGUAAGUCGGGUGUGAAAUCUCGGAGCUUAACUCCGAAACUGCAUUCGAUACUGCCGUGCUUGAGGACUGGAGAGGAGAGUGGAAUUUACGGUGUAGCGGUGAAAUGCGUAGAUAUCGUAAGGAAGACCAGUGGCGAAGGCGGGUCUCUGGACAGUUCCUGACGCUGAGGCACGAAGGUCAGGGGAGCAAACGGG